AAGUGAACCUCUUUUCAUGUGCAUGGUC
This 28-nucleotide non-coding RNA is filed under the name Homo sapiens (human). Lineage: Eukaryota; Metazoa; Chordata; Mammalia; Primates; Hominidae. The record is from RNAcentral.